RNAcentral lists this long non-coding RNA (1752 nucleotides) under Arabidopsis lyrata. RNAcentral's name for it is "long non-coding RNA (ALYR_LNC003068)". The record is from RNAcentral. Lineage: Eukaryota; Viridiplantae; Streptophyta; Magnoliopsida; Brassicales; Brassicaceae.
CGGCGACCCGAGCACACUAACGACCAACAGAACCGACGGAUCUGAAAACCAAAGAAGAAUCUCAAUAGAUUUGAGCCUCGAAACCCAUGGCUCCACCACGUCAAAAACCACCACGCUUCAACAACCGAAGGAUACAGAGACAAGAAAUAAAAAACUAAGCAAGAAAUUAGAGGAGGUGACCGACGCCGGCGCUAUAUGAUCCGCCACGCGCCGGUCAAAAACUUGACUGAAGCUUUGUUUUAAGGCAGGCGGCGAGAGAGAAAAGCUAGGUUAAAAGAAUUUUUUACUGAAACGAAAAGAAGAGAUUUUUAUUUUUUCGGUUUAACCAUUCAUUGUCUUGUUUCCUUCCUAGUUUGUUUGUUUUUUUUUCAUCUGAAUGAUUCCAUUAUAUUAUACGAAGGUAGAAUGCAGUUUUGAAAUACAAGACCGACAAGAGUCGAAACUCUUUUGGAAACUAAGCCGGCGGAAGACAUAAAUAUCCCCGGAGUCUAAAAGCCCAAAAGAGGGAAGCGAAAGCCCAAAAGAGGGAAGCGAAAGCCCAACAAAGGGAAGUGAUGCCCUAAAACACAUGGACACUAACUAAAACCGAGUGAACAAACCACCGAAGACGAAACAAUGGACAAACUCGUAAACUAAAGCUCAGAAGGAAAUAAAAGGACAUGCCAAACUUACUCCAACACCGAUGUGAGCAAAGCUAGCCACAAAGGACAACAUGCGUCCAUCUUGCAGUUAACGAAACCUCCUAUUGUGAAGCCAAGGUACCUCUCAAAGCAGAUGAACCUAAACUUCUAUUCCGGCAAGACAAACAUGAGACACAUAAACCAAAUCCCACAAAUCUUCCAGAAGCGGCGAUUGUCGAAUACAACGACUAGGAGACGCCUCGUUAGAAGUCAUGAACUGACCAGACCUCGAUCAAGUCUUGAGUGUAGAGACAAGGAGCGAAACAAACCUCAAACCGGAAGAUACUACACUCAGAUGAGAGAAGCACACGAUCGAACCGGAGAGAUCACAUAAAGCUUAUCAAAGGGCUAAAGUAAGAUCAACAAAAUCACGAAACCAAAAGAGCGCCAGCAAGCUAUGACCAAAGCUUCGGGCUAACAGCAAGAGAAGAGAGAGCGAGGCAGCCUAAACUGACCUACACACUUUCUAAAACUGCCUAAACCAAAGAUUUGUACCACCCAAAGUCACAAAAACCAGAGACCAGAAGCAGCAAUCUCAAGGACGAAAGAAAACAAAAGUCAGAUGAUACCGUAGAGGAGGCAAGAACAUCUCGGCCGCAUUAGAAGCUAACACAUCGUGUAUCACCAUCGGACGCCAACGGGCCAUAACCAGAUCUGCAAAUACGCACAACAAAGCAACCGACGAGAUAGGACAAUUCGCGGCGCACCAACGCGAGCCAAAAGGAGACGAUUUUCAGGGAAGAUCUUGCCGAGAUCGGAAGAAGACCCAAACCUAAGCCGUUCCGAAACUUUUGUAACUAGAUCCGCUAGAGGAGGGCUAGGAAUGGCUCCGAAACUAAAGACGCAAGGAAGAACAAACCACGGACGGCCCUCUCACGACUCCGGCGAGAAGCGCCGGUGGCCGGAGAGGUCAAAUCAAAAGGAGAAGCUUGACGGCGGCUAGGGCGAGUUGGUCUUCGCAAUUCUUCUACGAGUCACGACCACCUCCAAGUUAAUUUCCUUCCUAGUUUCUAAUGAGGCUUUUAUUUGUCAAGUGAUAUAUAACAAAUAUGAAAUAUUGAUUUUUUUUUUG